CCUACGGGAGGCAGCAGUGGGGAAUUUUGGACAAUGGGGGCAACCCUGAUCCAGCCAUUCCGCGUGUGCGAUGAAGGCCUUCGGGUUGUAAAGCACUUUUGGCAGGAAAGAAAUCGCACGGGUUAAUAACCCGUGUGGAUGACGGUACCUGCAGAAUAAGCACCGGCUAACUACGUGCCAGCAGCCGCGGUAAUACGUAGGGUGCAAGCGUUAAUCGGAAUUACUGGGCGUAAAGCGUGCGCAGGCGGUUCGGAAAGAAAGGUGUGAAAUCCCAGGGCUUAACCUUGGAACUGCACUUUUAACUCCCGAGCUAGAGUAUGUCAGAGGGGGUGGAAUUCCGCGUGUAGCAGUGAAAUGCGUAGAUAUGCGGAGGAACACCAAUGGCGAAGGCAGCCCCCUGGGAUGAUACUGACGCUCAUGCACGAAAGCGUGGGGAGCAAACAGGAUUAGAUACCCUGGUAGUCCACGCCCUAAACGAUGUCAACUAGCUGUUGGGGCUUCGGCCCUUAGUAGCGCAGCUACGCGUGUAGUGACCGCCGUGGGAGGUACGGUCGCGAGAAGUAAACUACGUUAAAGAAGUAGUUAGGCGUGAGAGNGCGAGGACGACGACGAGGGAGGAGG
RNAcentral lists this ribosomal RNA (621 nucleotides) under uncultured bacterium. Its description in RNAcentral is "bacterial SSU rRNA". The stretch from base 1 to 538 matches the Rfam family "Bacterial small subunit ribosomal RNA", at positions 338 to 873 of the family's 1533-position model. The record is from RNAcentral.